RNAcentral lists this ribosomal RNA (320 nucleotides) under Colletotrichum sp. Its description in RNAcentral is "partial large subunit ribosomal RNA". It matches the Rfam family "Eukaryotic large subunit ribosomal RNA", at positions 331 to 670 of the family's 3401-position model. The record is from RNAcentral. Lineage: Eukaryota; Fungi; Ascomycota; Sordariomycetes; Glomerellales; Glomerellaceae.
AGACCGAUAGCGAACAAGUAGAGUGAUCGAAAGAUGAAAAGCACUUUGAAAAGAGGGUUAAACAGCACGUGAAAUUGUUAAAAGGGAAGCGCUUGUGACCAGACUUGCGUCCGGUGAAUCACCCAGCUCUCGCGGCUGGGGCACUUCGCCGGCACAGGCCAGCAUCAGCUUGCCGUCGGGGACAAAAGCUUCAGGAACGUGGCUCCUCUCGGGGAGUGUUAUAGCCUGUUGCAUAAUACCCUUCGGCGGGCUGAGGUACGCGCUCCGCAAGGAUGCUGGCGUAAUGGUCAUCAGCGACCCGUCUUGAAACACGGACCAAG